Molecule: ribosomal RNA, 501 nt
Filed under: uncultured bacterium
Lineage: Bacteria
Description: bacterial SSU rRNA
Rfam family: Bacterial small subunit ribosomal RNA
Source: RNAcentral
GAGUUUGAUCCUGGCUCAGGAUGAACGCUGGCGGCGUGCUUAACACAUGCAAGUCGAGCGGAGCACAUCGUUGGAAUCCUUCGGGAGGAAGAAGGUGUGGCUUAGCGGCGGACGGGUGAGUAACGCGUGGACAACCUGCCCUAUGCAGGGGGAUAACAUCCGGAAACGGGUGCUAAUACCGCAUAAGCGCACAGUACCGCAUGGUACGGUGUGAAAAGCUGAGGCGGCAUAGGAUGGGUCCGCGUUGGAUUAGGCAGUUGGCGGGGUAACGGCCCACCAAACCGACGAUCCAUAGCCGGCCUGAGAGGGUGGACGGCCACAUUGGGACUGAGACACGGCCCAGACUCCUACGGGAGGCAGCAGUGGGGAAUAUUGCACAAUGGGGGGAACCCUGAUGCAGCGACGCCGCGUGGGUGAGGAAGUACUUCGGUAUGUAAAGCCCUAUCAGCAGGGAAGAAAAUGACGGUACCUGACUAAGAAGCCCCGGCUAACUACGUGCCA